GAUGAACGCUGGCGGCGUGCCUAAUACAUGCCAGUCGAGCGAACGGACGAGAAGCUUGCUUUUCUGAUGUUAGCGGCGGACGGGUGAGUAACACGUGGAUAACCUACCUAUAAGACUGGGAUAACUUCGGGAAACCGGAGCUAAUACCGGAUAAUAUUUUGAACCGCAUGGUUCAAAAGUGAAAGACGGUCUUGCUGUCACUUAUAGAUGGAUCCGCGCUGCAUUAGCUAGUUGGUAAGGUAACGGCUUACCAAGGCAACGAUGCAUAGCCGACCUGAGAGGGUGAUCGGCCACACUGGAACUGAGACACGGUCCAGACUCCUACGGGAGGCAGCAGUAGGGAAUCUUCCGCAAUGGGCUAAAGCCUGACGGAGCAACGCCGCGUGAGUGAUGAAGGUCUUCGGAUCGUAAAACUCUGUUAUUAGGGAAGAACAUAUGUGUAAGUAACUGUGCACAUCUUGACGGUACCUAAUCAGAAAGCCACGGCUAACUACGUG
This 497-nucleotide ribosomal RNA is filed under the name uncultured bacterium. RNAcentral describes it as "partial 16S ribosomal RNA". It matches the Rfam family "Bacterial small subunit ribosomal RNA", at positions 28 to 507 of the family's 1533-position model. The record is from RNAcentral.